This 497-nucleotide ribosomal RNA is filed under the name uncultured bacterium. RNAcentral's name for it is "partial 16S ribosomal RNA". It matches the Rfam family "Bacterial small subunit ribosomal RNA", at positions 28 to 507 of the family's 1533-position model. The record is from RNAcentral.
GAUGAACGCUGGCGGCGUGCCUAAUACAUGCAAGUCGAGCGAACAGACGAGGAGCUUGCUCCUCUGACGUUAGCGGCGGACGGGUGAGUAACACGUGGAUAACCUACCUAUAAGACUGGGAUAACUUCGGGAAACCGGAGCUAAUACCGGAUAAUAUAUUGAACCGCAUGGUUCAAUAGUGAAAGACGGUUUUGCUGUCACUUAUAGAUGGAUCCGCGCCGCAUUAGCUAGUUGGUAAGGUAACGGCUUACCAAGGCAACGAUGCGUAGCCGACCUGAGAGGGUGAUCGGCCACACUGGAACAGAGACACGGUCCAGACUCCUACGGGAGGCAGCAGUAGGGAAUCUUCCGCAAUGGGCGAAAGCCUGACGGAGCAACGCCGCGUGAGUGAUGAAGGUCUUCGGAUCGUAAAACUCUGUUAUUAGGGAAGAACAAAUGUAUAAGUAACUAUGCACGUCUUGACGGUACCUAAUCAGAAAGCCACGGCUAACUACGUG